RNA transcript from Phymastichus coffea, 2294 nucleotides. It is a transcript of the gene named E3 ubiquitin ligase Rnf121, with no coding region annotated. NCBI's taxonomy places the organism in Eukaryota, Metazoa, Arthropoda, Insecta, Hymenoptera, Eulophidae. The transcript is spliced from 8 exons. The record is from RefSeq and is a predicted model, not a curated record.
AUAAAAUGCCGUAACACGUCGACGAAUAAAUGUGGGUCGACGCGAAAAUGUGAAUUCUCCGAUAAGUUUACGAAUACAGAAAGUCGUGUCGACUGCAGAUUGCAGUCGCAUCGAGAUGUCAUCGUGGUGAGGUGAAGAUUUUUUUUCGGCUAAAAAUUUGAAGAGUUGGCUACAUCAUGAUGGAACACAUUCAUGUGAUGCCGAACAAGAGUGAGGCUGACUUAACACCUGAAGAAAGAUGGAGGGUUGAACGUAUAAAAAUGCACGAACAACAUCGGGGCCACGAGUCCAUGCACAUGGAGAUGAUGCUUAUUUUGAUAGUCACAGUUAUUAUUAGUGAAAUCAUACUUAUUACCUGGAAACAGAAACACUACAGAUCUUAUCAACUUAUAACGCUACUUGGUAUGUGGGUGAUUCCACUAGGAAUGUGCAUUAGAAAUCUGUGGUGGAGAUUCAUAUUUUUAUGGCUAGUUUUCUCAUGUAUUACUGGACUGAUUGUAAGAAAGACUAUACAAAGACCAAUGGCUGGCACAACUCCUAGGCUAGUAUAUAAGUGGUUCUACUUUAUCUACAAACUUAGUUACUGUUUGGGUAUAAUAGGAUAUUUCAUCAUGUUAGCUACGUUUUUUGGCUUGAAUCUUGUGUUUGAUGCUAAACCUCAAAUUUGGAUGGACUGUGGGCUAUUGUUCUUAUUUUAUGGUUUGUACUUUGGAGUCUUGGGCAGGGAUAUUGCAGAAAUAUGUGCAGAUAAAAUGGCAGCACAUAUUGGGUAUUAUAACCCUGGAAGCAUGCCAACUAGAUCAUUGGAUCCUAACGUUUGUGCUGUGUGUGGAAAUCAAUUAUUAGUUUCAGAACAUGAAGAGGGUGUUCUUGAAAACACAUACAAACUUAGUUGCAAUCAUGUUUUCCAUGAAUUCUGUAUUAGAGGCUGGUGCAUUGUUGGCAAAAAGCAAAUUUGCCCUUACUGCAAAGAAAAAGUGGAUUUAAAAAAAAUGUUCCGCAACCCAUGGGAAAAACCACAUGUCCUCUAUGGACAACUUCUUGAUUGGCUGAGGUGGCUUGUUGCUUGGCAACCUGUUAUUUUGUUCCUAGUUCAGGGGAUCAAUUGGAGCCUGGGACUUGAGUAAGUAAAAGCAGCACUGACUUACAUUAAGCCAUGAAAAGAGCUUUUACAAUGAAAAUCAUCAUUCAAAAUAAUAUAAAUAUACAAUCACUAAAUGUAGAAAAAACUAAAGUUUUAAGAGCACUAGAAGCCAUUUUACUUCAAUAUCUUGUCAGUUAGUGAAUACAAUUUUCUAUUCUUGUCAUUAAUAUAAGUUUAUAUAUAAAAUUUAGAAGUUUCCUUAAAAUAUUAUGUGACAACAUUUUUCCUAUGUGAUAUUGUAAUCAUUUCAGCGAAGCUUGUUUUUAUUGAAUCAUGUGUUUGAGUUUUGUUAUUAGGAUCAAGUAGAUUUUUUUAUAACAUUCCCAUAGAUGAAAAUUAGACAUGUUUAUACUGAGAAUACUAUGGUUGAUGAUAUGAUAAGACAUUAUGUAAAAUUGUGUUUGUCUUGGAGUGCCAUUACGGUGAAAAUUGCUUUGUCAAAUGUUAUAAUUAAAAACUGAUAAUGUUGGUAAUACAAUUUUCGUACCAGUUUAUAUUCACACCUCAUAAGAUGCCAAUAGUCGUUGACCAAAGUGAUGAUGAAAUUAUUAAAAAUACCUUCAAUCAAAUGUGCAUCAAAAACUCGGGACAAUCUUUGAAUUGUUGCAAGUUUUAUAUGUAGGAAAAUUUUCGUUUACAAUUUGGCUAUAACUUCAUUAAAGAGUUUAAAACUCAAAUUUACGGAAUUCAAAUGAAAUAACAAUGUCAUAGACGUUUUGACGAAACGAACUUGUGGAAGAAAUAUACAACUUUUCUCAUGAAAAUCCCUUUUUUUAUCAAAACGUGAAAUUUGUAAACAGAUGCAUACGUUUCAUGAUUAUCGUCAAAUACUUUUUCACUUUUUAUUGUUUAAGUUAAGAUAAACUUUUUCACGUAUGCAAGUGUAAUUUAUAUAUGCGUGCAUGUGUACAAACAAAUAUAUAAAAAGAGAAAAAAGAAAAAACAUCGUAAUUGUAAAAUAUGUCUUUUGAUAAUUCGGAAUCGCUAAUUAUACAAUUAAAUGUUUUUUUUGUAAAUAGUACUGAAUGACAGCACAUUGUUAGUACACUCCGACCGUCUUAUUGGACACUGAUCUGUUAAUAUCUCGAACCACGAAACUAUUUGUGAAAAUGAAAGAUUGUAAAAUAAAUAAAAGUUUCGUUUAUGUAAA